Long non-coding RNA from Hydra vulgaris (swiftwater hydra), 478 nucleotides. RefSeq lists it as uncharacterized. The record is from RefSeq and is a predicted model, not a curated record. NCBI's taxonomy places the organism in Eukaryota, Metazoa, Cnidaria, Hydrozoa, Anthoathecata, Hydridae.
CUUGUUAACUGUUGUCUGUCAUUAACAACCAAGUAAAAAAUUGUAUAUAAUGACAACAGAUUUAUCUUUAGAACUCUUUUCAAAAAUUUUGGUAUGAAUACAAAAGACCAAGUGAAAAUGAUACUGGAAAGGGAAAUUCAAUUAAAAAGUCAUGUCAUAGAAGACAGAAAAAUAUCAGUAUCUGUCUUCAAUAACUUGGCUUUCAUAGCAAAUCUGAGAGACUGUUUACCGUUUGACUCCUGUCCCAAUCCUACCAAGUUGGUUCAAAAAGAAAGGACUGCGUUGAAAACAUGAGGGGGUUAAAAGAAUCAGCCCUUUUUGAAUUAAUAGUCGAUGUCGUAACCAGCUAGAAGUCGUAACCAGCUCGUAUGAAAGGAUUUCUCGACGUGAAAUAGUUAAUUUUAUUCAACAACUCCAAGAAACAGAGCUCACUCAAGAAACAGAAAAGAAAGCGAAAGAUGAAAAAAUAUUCUGUUUA